This 116-nucleotide ribosomal RNA is filed under the name Pteropus alecto (black flying fox). Lineage: Eukaryota; Metazoa; Chordata; Mammalia; Chiroptera; Pteropodidae. The record is from RNAcentral.
GUCUAUGACCAUGCCACCCUGAACAAGUCUGAUGUCUGAUCUCAGAAGCUAAGCAGGGUUGGGCCGGUUAGCACUUGGAUGGGUAGACUACCUAGGAAGACCAGGUGCUGUAGGCA